This 714-nucleotide ribosomal RNA is filed under the name uncultured Bacillota bacterium. Its description in RNAcentral is "bacterial SSU rRNA". It matches the Rfam family "Bacterial small subunit ribosomal RNA", at positions 58 to 780 of the family's 1533-position model. The record is from RNAcentral. Lineage: Bacteria; Bacillati; Bacillota.
CAAGUCGAGCGAGAGGGGGUAGCAAUACCCUAGUAAAGCGGCGCACGGGUGAGUAACACGUGGAUAACCUGCCUCGAAGUGGGGAAUAACACCGGGAAACCGGUGCUAAUACCGCAUAUUCUGACGAGAUCUGCGGAUUUUGUCAGGAAAGGAGCAAUUCGCUUUGAGAGGGGUCCGCGGCUGAUUAGCUAGUUGGUGAGGUAAUGGCUCACCAAGGCCACGAUCAGUAGCCGGUCUGAGAGGACGGUCGGCCACACUGGAACUGAGACACGGUCCAGACUCCUACGGGAGGCAGCAGUGGGGAAUUUUUCGCAAUGGGGGCAACCCUGACGAAGCAACGCCGCGUGGGUGAUGAAGUAUUUCGGUACGUAAAACCCUUUCGACGGAGACGAAACCGCAAGGUUGACGGUAUCCGUAGAAGAAGCCCCGGCUAAUUCCGUGCCAGCAGCCGCGGUAAUACGGGGGGGGCAAGCGUUGUUCGGAAUUACUGGGCGUAAAGGGCGCGUAGGCGGUUCGCUAAGUUGAAUGUGAAAACUCUGGGCUUAACCCAGAGCCUGCAUCCAAAACUGGCGAACUGGAGUACUGGAGGGGAAAGCGGAAUUCCUGGUGUAGCGGUGAAAUGCGUAGAUAUCAGGAGGAACACCGGUGGCGAAGGCGGCUUUCUGGACAGUAACUGACGCUGAGGCGCGAAAGCUAGGGGAGCAAACAGGAUUA